Aethina tumida (small hive beetle) is the source of this 577-nucleotide long non-coding RNA. RefSeq lists it as uncharacterized. The record is from RefSeq and is a predicted model, not a curated record. The transcript is spliced from 2 exons. Lineage: Eukaryota; Metazoa; Arthropoda; Insecta; Coleoptera; Nitidulidae.
UGCAUUUGUUGCUCAAUGAAAAAACAAAUUUUAUUUCCUAGCAAUAUAAAACAAUAUUUUAGAUAUGCCAAACAGUGACGUUAAAACUCUCUUCCACUUUCACACGCAAACAGCAAGUAAAUAGAAAAUUCCGUAAAAAACGACACAAAUACUUCGAAUGCGCCAAGUAUCGACCUAUCUUUACCUAUAGUAACUCAAGUACUAAGAAACCAUCAGAAUGUCAAACCGGCUAAAUGAAAUGGACGAUGAACCUCCAAAGCCAACAAACAAUAAUACUGGAGGUGAGAAGACCGCCGAGGCCGAGGAGGACAAAACCAGAUCCAUUGUAGGCCGUAGAAUUCCCACUUGGUUGUCUACGAUCGAUUGGGCUUUCAGAUGGCUGAUCUAUUUGUACGAGAUGUACAGAAAGUACUCCAUAUAAUUUUAUAACUUGAUAACCACACGACAAAAAUAUUUAAGUUUUUAUUUUUAUAUUUUACUAUUGUGACAUGAUAAAUUCUAAAUUAUACCCGCUCCACUUCAAUUAUGCUGUACAAUUUGUAAAACUUUUAAUAAAAAUUAAAUCGAUUGGAUAGAA